GUUGUGGCUCAGAGGUAGAGUGCUCGCCUACCAUGCGUGAAACACUGGGUUCAAUCCUCAGCACAACA
Molecule: transfer RNA, 68 nt
Filed under: Marmota marmota marmota (Alpine marmot)
Lineage: Eukaryota; Metazoa; Chordata; Mammalia; Rodentia; Sciuridae
Also listed under: 1 other name
Rfam family: tRNA
About the family: Transfer RNA (tRNA) molecules are approximately 80 nucleotides in length. Their secondary structure includes four short double-helical elements and three loops (D, anti-codon, and T loops).
Source: Rfam by way of RNAcentral